Molecule: ribosomal RNA, 369 nt
Filed under: uncultured bacterium
Lineage: Bacteria
Description: bacterial SSU rRNA
Rfam family: Bacterial small subunit ribosomal RNA
Source: RNAcentral
GGGCCCGCACAAGCGGUGGAGUAUGUGGUUUAAUUCGAUGCAACGCGAAGAACCUUACCAGGGUUUGACAUCCUGCGAAUCUCUUGGAAACAGGAGAGUGCCUUCGGGAACGCAGUGACAGGUGGUGCAUGGCUGUCGUCAGCUCGUGUCGUGAGAUGUUGGGUUAAGUCCCGCAACGAGCGCAACCCACGUCUUUAGUUGCCAGCAUUUAGUUGGGCACUCUAGAGAGACUGCCGGUGAUAAACCGGAGAAGGUGUGGAUGACGUCAAGUCAUCAUGCCCCUUACAUCUGGGCUACACACGUACUACAAUGCUACGGACAAAGGGCUGCAAGUUCGCGAGGACAAGCAAGUUGGCCGCCCUCUGUAUG